This 462-nucleotide ribosomal RNA is filed under the name Triticum aestivum (bread wheat). Its description in RNAcentral is "partial small subunit ribosomal RNA". Lineage: Eukaryota; Viridiplantae; Streptophyta; Magnoliopsida; Poales; Poaceae. The record is from RNAcentral.
AUGUUCAGACAUGCACUACAAGCUGUUGCAUUCCUCAACGAGGAGAAAAUCACCACCAAGGUAGAGCACUUGAAGGAAACAUUCAGGUGGUCGGAUGCCGAGGUGGGCAUUGCCGUUUCUAAGGCUCCAACGUUGCUGACGAGGACUAAGGAAUCGCUGCAGCGCAGGUCUGAGUUCCUCAUCUCUGAGGUGGGCCUAGAGCCAACAUACAUAGCACAUCGGUCGGUAAUGCUCACUUACAGCCUGGAGGGCCGGCUGAGGCCCCGGUACUACGCUGUAAAGUUUCUCAAGGAAAAUGGAUUGCUCAAGGGCGGCCCGAGCUACUCUACUGUUUUCAAUGAGACCGACAAGGUAUUCAGGGAGAAGUACAUAUGCCCUCACAAGGAAGCUGCACCACACCUCCAAGAGGACUAUGAUGCCGCUUGCAAAGGGGAAGUGCCAACCAAUUUCAGAUUCACAUGA